Molecule: ribosomal RNA, 218 nt
Filed under: uncultured bacterium
Lineage: Bacteria
Description: partial 16S ribosomal RNA
Rfam family: Bacterial small subunit ribosomal RNA
Source: RNAcentral
UACGUAGGGUGCAAGCGUUAAUCGGAAUUACUGGGCGUAAAGCGUGCGCAGGCGGUUUUGUAAGUCUGUCGUGAAAUCCCCGGGCUCAACCUGGGAAUUGCGAUGGAGGCUGCAAGGCUAGAAUCUGGCAGAGGGGGGUGAGAAUUCCACGUGUGAGCAGUGAAAUGCGUAGAGAUAGUGGAGGAACACCGAUGGCGAAGGCAGCCCCCUGGGUCAAG